CCUACGGGAGGCUGCAGUGGGGAAUAUUGGACAAUGGGGGCAACCCUGAUCCAGCCAUGCCGCGUGUGUGAAGAAGGCCCUCGGGUUGUAAAGCACUUUCAGUGAGGAAGAACGCCUGGUGGUUAAUACCCAUCAGGAAAGACAUCACUCACAGAAGAAGCACCGGCUAACUCCGUGCCAGCAGCCGCGGUAAUACGGAGGGUGCGAGCGUUAAUCGGAAUUACUGGGCGUAAAGCGCGCGUAGGUGGCUUGAUAAGCCGGUUGUGAAAGCCCCGGGCUCAACCUGGGAACGGCAUCCGGAACUGUCAAGCUAGAGUGCAGGAGAGGAAGGUAGAAUUCCCGGUGUAGCGGUGAAAUGCGUAGAGAUCGGGAGGAAUACCAGUGGCGAAGGCGGCCUUCUGGACUGACACUAACACUGAGGUGCGAAAGCGUGGGUAGCAAACAGGAUUAGAUACCCUUGUAGUC
Molecule: ribosomal RNA, 465 nt
Filed under: Vreelandella stevensii
Lineage: Bacteria; Pseudomonadati; Pseudomonadota; Gammaproteobacteria; Oceanospirillales; Halomonadaceae
Description: partial 16S ribosomal RNA
Rfam family: Bacterial small subunit ribosomal RNA
Source: RNAcentral